CGGAGGAUCCAAGCGUUAUCCGGAAUCAUUGGGUUUAAAGGGUCCGUAGGCGGUUUUGUAAGUCAGUGGUGAAAGCCCAUCGCUCAACGGUGGAACGGCCAUUGAUACUGCAAGACUUGAAUUACUAGGAAGUAACUAGAAUAUGUAGUGUAGCGGUGAAAUGCUUAGAUAUUACAUGGAAUACCAAUUGCGAAGGCAGGUUACUACUAGUGGAUUGACGCUGAUGGACGAAAGCGUGGGGAGCGAACAGGAUUAGACUACCCUGGUAGUCCACGCCGUAAACGAUGGAUACUAGCUGUUCGAGAGCAAUCUUGAGUGGCUAAGACGAAAGUGAUAAGCACUCCCACCGUGGGGAGUACGAACGCUAAGUU
RNAcentral lists this ribosomal RNA (371 nucleotides) under uncultured organism. RNAcentral describes it as "bacterial SSU rRNA". It matches the Rfam family "Bacterial small subunit ribosomal RNA", at positions 526 to 894 of the family's 1533-position model. The record is from RNAcentral.